GCCGGGUGUGGUGGUGCAUGCCUGUAAUCCCAGCUGUUGGGAGGCUGAGGCAGGAGAAUCGCUUGAACCCAGGAGGCAGAGGCUGCAGUGAGCCAAGUUCACGCCACUGCACUCCAGCCUGGGCAACAGAGUGAAACUCUGUCUCAA
This is an unclassified non-coding RNA of Pongo abelii (Sumatran orangutan), 147 nucleotides long. It matches the Rfam family "Metazoan signal recognition particle RNA". Rfam says of the family: The signal recognition particle (SRP) is a universally conserved ribonucleoprotein. It is involved in the co-translational targeting of proteins to membranes. The eukaryotic SRP consists of a 300-nucleotide 7S RNA and six proteins: SRPs 72, 68, 54, 19, 14, and 9. The record is from Ensembl. NCBI's taxonomy places the organism in Eukaryota, Metazoa, Chordata, Mammalia, Primates, Hominidae.